CCUACGGGUGGCAGCAGUGAGGAAUAUUGGUCAAUGGUCGGAAGACUGAACCAGCCAUGCCGCGUGCAGGAAGACGGCCUUAUGGGUUGUAAACUGCUUUUGCAAGGGAAGAAUAAGCUCUACGAGUAGAGUGAUGACGGUACUUUGCGAAUAAGCAUCGGCUAACUCCGUGCCAGCAGCCGCGGUAAUACGGAGGAUGCGAGCGUUAUCCGGAAUCAUUGGGUUUAAAGGGUCUGUAGGCGGGUUGUUAAGUCAGGGGUGAAAGUUUGCGGCUUAACCGUAAAAUUGCCUUUGAUACUGGCUAUCUUGAAUUAUUGUGAAGUUGUUAGAAUGUGUAGUGUAGCGGUGAAAUGCAUAGAUAUUACACAGAAUACCGAUUGCGAAGGCAGAUGACUAACAAUAGAUUGACGCUGAGAGACGAAAGCGUGGGGAGCGAAC
Molecule: ribosomal RNA, 438 nt
Filed under: uncultured bacterium
Lineage: Bacteria
Description: bacterial SSU rRNA
Rfam family: Bacterial small subunit ribosomal RNA
Source: RNAcentral